GAUGCCGCGUGCUCCCGUCGAGCGCGCCCCCGUGAGCCGACUCUCUUCGGCCCCGCCGCGACGCGCGACACCGGCUGCUCAGCGAGGGACGGGCGCGCGCGCCCUGGACCCCUCCCCCACGGCCCUUGUCCGCGCGGGCGCAACAGCGGGGUGGGGGAGGGGAAGGGAGUCCAGGGGGCGCGCGAGCGACGUCCAAGCCGGCCCUCACCGGCGCCCGCGGGCGCGCACGCGCGUCCCGGCGCCGCCCGCCCCUCAGCACGAGACCCUCAUCCCGCCCGGGGAGCUGGGGGAGGGGAUGCCAACGUCGCUCCCCCGUUCCCUUUAGCGCGCGCAGAUGAUCGACCCGCAGCCGCCUCCCCUCCGGCGCCAUGGCCUGCCGCUCACCAUGUUUCCGGAAGAGAAAAGGAGAUAGCAAGGAGAGCCAGAAAAGACAAGAGCCGCUGCAGCUGCUGCCGGGAUCCGACUGAACGCGGCCUCUCCCGGCCCCUUCCGUUUAGUACGAGCCGCACAAUGAGGGGCGGGGCGGGCUUCCGGCGCUCCCCCCGCGGGCCGACGGGAAAUGAAGUCCGACGGUCCUGCGCCGUCUUCGGGCUCGCUGGGUAACAGAGUCUUUUUCACCUGACGGCCUCCCUGCUCCACGUUGCAUACUGGGAAAUGUAGUUCAAAACAGCCGAGAGAGGCGGGGCUAUGGCACGGAGAGCGCACCCGUUGGUCGAAUUUCCCAGGAAAUGCUCGGAGCUGAGCGAAGGCCUCGGCGUUGGGUAAUAUGACCUGAAAAUGAGCCCCGACUUCGCGCUCUCUACCUCGGAGGGAAACGGUUUUCCUAAGAUCCAUCUUGGCACUAUCUGGAUCCUUUGGUCUGAAAAUUUUCAGAAGAGAAGACAGGGUCGCAAACAAGAGAAUUGGGGGCGUUGAUCCCAUAUGCAGAAUAAAGGGUGUAAAUGAAGAGCCAGAAGGCUGGGCUUCAGGACCCGGGGAGCGACUCCCGAGAGUGGGGGGACAAGGGUUCGAGCCCUGGUCUGGGAAGAUCCCACGUGCCGCGGAGCAACUGGGCCCGUGAGCCACAACUACUGAGCCUGCGCGUCUGGAGCCUGUGCUCCGCAACAAGAGAGGCCGCGACAGUGAGAGCCCCGCGCACCGCGAUGAAGAGUGGCCCUCGCUCGCCGCAACUAGAGAAAGCCCUCGCACAGAAACGAAGACCCAACACAGACCCAAAAAUUAAUAAAUAAAUAAUUUUUAAAAAAAACAAAAACGAUGAAGUGUUUUCCCCUUGUCCGGGCUUCUUACUCCCAGGCUGCUACCC
Lagenorhynchus albirostris (white-beaked dolphin) is the source of this 1303-nucleotide long non-coding RNA. RefSeq lists it as uncharacterized. The transcript is spliced from 3 exons. The record is from RefSeq and is a predicted model, not a curated record. Lineage: Eukaryota; Metazoa; Chordata; Mammalia; Artiodactyla; Delphinidae.